UUGAUUUGUGCCGUCCGUUUUCUCUGCCGAAGUCGUGGUUGCGUGGACGCGGCUAUGGUCGAAGGGUCUCACCAGCGUGGCACCGGCGCCUCCCUUCCCUCUCCCCUGGAGCUGGAAGGUACUGUCUCGGGCUUCCCAAAUCUGUUGGAUCAAAAAUUGCGGGUGAUGGAAUCAAAUUUUGUUGGAUCAGAAAUUGCAGUUGAUGGAAUUAAAACUUGGAUGUGAUCAAAUUAGGUAUUGCUUGAGCUGAAAGUUGAAUGUUUGUCGACUUGAUUUGUAGUUCAACACGUCAAAAUUGUGGUGGAUCGGGUGGUAUAGUUUACUUAUUUGAAAAUGUUGUUGAAUUUUCAGAGAGGACCAUGGCGUACUGAUUACUGAAAGGAAUUUGUGAGUUCCUGCAAGAUGCAUCUCUAGCAUUUCUUGUGCAGGUCAGUUCCUACUCAUAUUUCCCCCUUGCAUAGUAAUCGACUUAUUUUAGGAACUUUAAUAUCAUCAUUGAAAUAUAACCAACUUUGCAGUGUGUCGAAACAUAACCAACUUCUUUCUCAGGAUUCUUUGCUAGCAAUUAAAAUAUCCUGAGCAAUCUGGAAAAGAGAUAGCUUAAAUAAAUGGAUAUGUAAUUAACUCCAUACAUUAUUUGGAGGAAGAGUUCAAUACAUGCAUGUUUUCUCAAAUUAGGUUGCCCCUGUUGUGUAUAUAAAUGUGAUGCUUCCUUCCAUGACUAAACAGGCUGAUGAGACGUUGUGGUUCCUUUUCUUUUUAAAUUUCAGAGGCUUACAAACUUGUGAUUCCUCAUGACUCGGAAGGAGGAGCGCGGGCCAUAGCUACGGAAGAGGAGGUUGAGACAGCCGGCGCCUGCGCGGCUCAUUCAUCUUAAUUUAAUAUAUGCCAGUGGAGAAAUAUAUACUUUAAACCCGGUAGGGUCAAGGAUGUGUGAGAUUCGAGGUUUAGAGGAUAGCUCAAAGAUCGGUUACAUCAAACUAACAACGUUUAACCAAAAUGAUGCAGGUUUGAGCUGGCUCUGGCUCUAAAGUGUACUUUAUUUCUGAAGCAUUUAUCAUUUUGGAGAUGUCAAGUUCUACUGGCCAUUCCACUUAAUUAUCCUAUCCCAGGAUCCGUGAAGGAGGCCAUUAACAAAUUAAGGGAGAACAAUGUAAAGGCCUUUGU
This 1167-nucleotide long non-coding RNA is filed under the name Triticum aestivum (bread wheat). RNAcentral describes it as "long non-coding RNA (TAES_LNC007337)". Lineage: Eukaryota; Viridiplantae; Streptophyta; Magnoliopsida; Poales; Poaceae. The record is from RNAcentral.